CUCGGUAUUUCCCUGUUAAAAUACGCCGCGUUCGACUCCAAAGCAGCACAAUUAAUGCACUCAGUACACAAAAAGAUCGGGUGGCAUUUUUGUUUUAGAUUAAGCUGAAAGAAGAUCCAGUCCAACUAAACCCAGAGACACUAAUGUCACAUUUAAAAUGAAGAUUUUUGUUUUUUUCAGCAGACUUCAGGCAUUUUUCCCAGCAUCUCAACUGGAACGCUCUUUGCACCAAACACGGAUAGUCUUUUUUCUUUUUCAGGGUAUCAAGCGGUUGUAAUUAGCCAUCAGGGCAAGACUGAGGACACGACGGCAGUAGUACCACAGCCGUGGGUUUGAAGAGUGUGUGUGUGUGUGUGUGUGUGUGAGAAUGUUGGCAUUCAGCCCGGUGUAUCAUCCCAUCGAUCACGCGAGGCGUCCAAAAGCCUUCAGUGAGCGCUGGUCUCGUUUCCGAUCGAUGGCGUCAAAGGGUCAAGGUUAGCAUGUCUUCAGGCGCGGAGAGGCAAAACCCCCAAAUCCCACCGAGGGGACGGACUGUUGCCACGAACGGGGCGAAGACAAGAGCUCACGCCCUCCCACAGCGCGCGUUCCGCCUUCUGUGCGUGAGGUCCUCUCGGUCUUGCUCUCAUAUCCCUCAGCGUCCAUAAGCACAUAGAUGCAUUCAUGUACCUUUAUACGAUACCGCUACGAAAAGUUGAGACCUUCUUGAACAUUGUGGACAUGGGCAUCGCAACCAGCUUUGAGCCCCCCGCCCCUCCCUACCCUCCCCUGCAGGGGAAGGCGAUAUUGUUUGCCCAACUUGCGUCAGGUCAGAUCCUUAGAUUCUCCGAGAGUAAUAAAAACACAGGAUCGAUCGCCGGCUUGGGGGUUUAUCUGGAUCGGAGUGUUCAAAGUGGGAGGUAGGGCCUCCCCAGGGAGUCUCACUAAACAGUCUCACUAAAUUAAAGGGAAUAAAGACUUUUGUUGAUGAGAUAGAAGAACGGAAGAAUUUAACUUCUUUCCCCCUAGAAACUAAUAAAUGGGUCGGCCAAACCUUUUCGAAGCUUAUAUGAGAGCCUUGUGGAGACACUUUUACUCACCAACCUUAAGUAAUUUAAGUCCUCUAAACUCUGGGAAACCGCAUCUGAGGGCAUUUAUACACCUACUGGCACUGAAUGUGUGGAUGAUCUGGUACAUUUCAGACAAGCGGGCACUUGUAACAACAGCAGAUUGGCAAUUAGCCGGACCUGCAGGCCGAAUACGGAGGUUGCUCCAAGGUUGGACAAAAAGAAAACUCGACAUAUCGACUCCUUCCUCUCUCUCCCAAUAAAUGUCAGAGAGGCCAGGGGAGAAAUGCGAGGGACGCAGGGGAAAACAGUCGCACCCUGUGAAUUUAGAAAGCAGCGUGCUUAAUUUACUGAGUGCAAUAUCUGUGUUCUUUACACAUCCAAAGUAAACAGCCUGUGGACUUUUUUAUUGGAGCAUUACCUCAGGUUUUUUCGCACAGCAAGCUUUUUUAAACCCGGCUGCUGUGGCUUAAAGAGGGAAAAAACAGCCUUUUCCAUUAAAACUACAACAGAUUCCCUAUUAUUGGCUGUAAAUGAAUUGGGCACUAUGAGCUGGUGGAAUGAAUGGGGCUUUGAUUGGUUUAACUGAAGACAUGAGGUCCCGGUCGUGCCAACGAUGAGUCCCUUGGAGCGCGACCAAGUAUGAAGUUAUGGGGCUCCUGGUGUGAGAGUGAGAAGUAUGUGUGGGGGGAGGCUAAUAAAGAACACUGGAUUAUGCGCCCCAAGAUAGAGUCCUUAAUCCCCAUCCUGAACAUGUCUCACAUGUGGCAGCCACAUCGUUGUAAAUUCAGUUCACCAUUUUUGACUGGUGAAUUAUUUGUAAUUUAAGAACACCAGCCGAUGUGACCAGCGAAGGCCCCAUUCAAGAAAACCUUAAACACGACUUGUCCGUGGAGCGGCUGCUGGGCGUUUGAGGGAUGCAUCGUGCACUGUAGGUAUUUGUGCUGGGAACCUUUUUUUAAUCCAGGGUUGUUAUAGAGAUUUGUGAUGACAAAACAAAGCCUCUGUGGCUGCACUGACAGGAAAAUCCACCCGCCAAACGGCUCCAUUUCUUGGAUUGGAGCGGCGUGUUUUAAGACGCCAGGCGCUUUACGGAGACGGCUAAGCCUCGCCACGGGCUAUGAGGAAUAGCAGGACUAACCACAGUGUCCAUCGCAGGUCCACCCAGGAUAAAGACAUGUAAUUAGCCGAUGCUCCUGACAGAGCGAGGUCAAUUUGAGGGCCACCUGGGAUCUCUCACAGACUGGAACAGCAGUGAUUGUAGAUCUUAAUUUAGCGUCUGAGAACAGAGGGGAGCAGGCGCAACCGUUUUUCUGGUGUUUUCCAGGCUUGUUCUGACAAAUGUUUUUUUUCAUUCGUGAUCUGGCGUUUUUGAUGAGAUAACCACCACUUCGAGAGGAGGAUUUCGUCUUUGCUUUGACCGCCUCCGCUUCUGACAAAAUUGCACGCAC
Long non-coding RNA from Gasterosteus aculeatus aculeatus (three-spined stickleback), 2494 nucleotides. NCBI's taxonomy places the organism in Eukaryota, Metazoa, Chordata, Actinopteri, Perciformes, Gasterosteidae. The record is from Ensembl.